GUGAACGCUGGCGGUAGGCCUAACACAUGCAAGUCGAACGGCAGCACAGUAAGAGCUUGCUCUUACGGGUGGCGAGUGGCGGACGGGUGAGGAAUACAUCGGAAUCUACUUUUUCGCGGGGGAUAACGUAGGGAAACUUACGCUAAUACCGCAUACGACCUACGGGUGAAAGCAGGGGAUCUUCGGACCUUGCGCGAUUGAAUGAGCCGAUGUCGGAUUAGCUAGUUGGCGGGGUAAAGGCCCACCAAGGCGACGAUCCGUAGCUGGUCUGAGAGGAUGAUCAGCCACACUGGAACUGAGACACGGUCCAGACUCCUACGGGAGGCAGCAGUGGGGAAUAUUGGACAAUGGGCGCAAGCCUGAUCCAGCCAUACCGCGUGGGUGAAGAAGGCCUUCGGGUUGUAAAGCCCUUUUGUUGGGAAAGAAAAGCAGCAGGUUAAUACCCCGCUGUUCUGACGGUACCCAAAGAAUAAGCACCGGCUAACUUCG
This 489-nucleotide ribosomal RNA is filed under the name uncultured bacterium. RNAcentral's name for it is "partial 16S ribosomal RNA". It matches the Rfam family "Bacterial small subunit ribosomal RNA", at positions 29 to 505 of the family's 1533-position model. The record is from RNAcentral.